Pecten maximus is the source of this 1322-nucleotide long non-coding RNA. RefSeq lists it as uncharacterized. The record is from RefSeq and is a predicted model, not a curated record. The transcript has 3 exons. Lineage: Eukaryota; Metazoa; Mollusca; Bivalvia; Pectinida; Pectinidae.
UACACAUGAGCAUUGCUAACCACACACGGCUACGGUUAUAUGUCGAGAGAAGUUCCUCGUUUUCAGCAUUCUGCUUGCAACUCUUGAAGCGCACACACGUUAUUACAAGCCCAAGGAUUUCGUCCUGUUAUUGAUUUUUCUCUUGGAUACAUUAUGAAGGCCGUUACACAAGCUUGCAUGAGACCAGCGGUUGAGCUCGGAAUCCGCCAGGAAUCCAGAAUCUUCAAACCGAAGAUGGACGAAACCUCAGCUGAAAUGACUGAAUGUUUCACCAAACUGAAGGACUUAGUACCGUCGGUACCACAGAACAAAAAAGUGUCAAAAACACAGCUUCUCCAACACGUGAUUGAUUACAUUUUGGACCUCGAACUUGCCCUGGAAGUACCAACUGUUCUUGGGAGCCUUACCCCUACAAGCUGUCGUUCACCUCUGAGUGAGAAAUCUCAACCCAACACUGUUCUUACCGAGAUUUGUCCAAUGGGUGAUGUAUCGAAAUAGACGUCCUUUCCGGAGACCAGUCCACAUGUGGACAUUCUCGACAGGUUGUGACGUAGAAAUUGGAUACCGAUUAUCCAGAGGAUGCUGUCCAUCCGAGUGACGUCACACGGGAUGAAUACCAGAGGGCGACGGUAACGCCGUCAACUGCCGCAGCAUCCGUUACUAGGCAACGAUAAAAGCGCGUGCACUGGCUGCCGGACUGUAGAACAAAAACACGUGGACUACAGGCGCCCUUGGUUCAUCAGACGGUUAUGAUUGGGAUGUUCUAAUGGACAUUCAUCAUAAUUUUAAUUUGGUGUAAUUUUUGAGUUGGACCUUUGUGUUGUAUUUUUUAACACUAAAUUUUACGGAAUGUUCAAGAUCCGGGAACGUAGGGUUUUACCUUGCGAUGAGGAAACCGACUUGUAACAAUUAUUGCCGAACUCUUGAAUACACAUCAUAUACGAGGAAGAAGUGUUUGGAAACCAGGAAAAUGAGGCACAUUUUCUGACGUUUUUACAGCGAAGGAGGAUUUUUAGCAGAGACAAUCUUAAUCGAGUUGACUUUGCGUACAGACAUUACGAUCAAUGUACAGUAGAAUGUUGAAGAGGAAGAUCGAUUUGUGUAGAGAACUUAUAUACAUCUGAUGUAUGUAAACUUUGUGAACGUAACCCACCGAUUAAGUAGUUACAAACCACAAAUAGAAGAUGAACUUUACCACCGAACAAAGAAAUGGAUGUAUACCAGUGGAUAUUUUUUUCAGUUACGUUUUGUUUUAUUAUUUGUUGUUGUCAAGUUCAAAUUUUAAACAAAAAUUCAUAUUAAAUUGUUUAUACGUUUCUAUA